CGCAAUGGGCGAAAGCCUGACGGAGCAACGCCGCGUGCAGGAGGAAGGCCUUCGGGUUGUAAACUGCUUUUGUCUGUGACGAUUAUGACGGUAGCAGAAGAAUAAGGAUUGGCUAAUUCCGUGCCAGCAGCCGCGGUCAUACGGAAGAUCCGAGCGUUAUCUGGAAUUACUGGGGGUAAAAAGGGGGGUAGGUGGCAUAUAAGCGAGCAGUGAAAGAUCCCGGCUCCACCCGGGACCCGGGGUUGGAACUACUAAUCUUGAGCGCGGGAGAGGAAGAUGGAAUUUCUAGGGUAGGGGUGAAAUCCGUAGAUAUUAGGAGGAACACCGGUGGCGUAGGCGGUUCUCUGGAUCGUUGCUGACACUGCGGCUCGAAAGCGU
RNAcentral lists this ribosomal RNA (378 nucleotides) under uncultured organism. Its description in RNAcentral is "bacterial SSU rRNA". It matches the Rfam family "Bacterial small subunit ribosomal RNA", at positions 367 to 762 of the family's 1533-position model. The record is from RNAcentral.